CAGUCGCCGCGGGAAUACAGAGGGUGCGAGCGUUAAUCGGAUUUACUGGGCGUAAAGCGUGCGUAGGCGGCUUCUUAAGUCGGAUGUGAAAUCCCUGAGCUUAACUUAGGAAUUGCAUUCGAUACUGGGAAGCUAGAGUAUGGGAGAGGAUGGUAGAAUUCCAGGUGUAGCGGUGAAAUGCGUAGAGAUCUGGAGGAAUACCGAUGGCGAAGGCAGCCAUCUGGCCUAAUACUGACGCUGAGGUACGAAAGCAUGGGGAUCAAACAGGAUUAGAUACCCCCGUAGUCCCUGUCUCUUAUAC
This 301-nucleotide ribosomal RNA is filed under the name uncultured bacterium. Its description in RNAcentral is "partial 16S ribosomal RNA". It matches the Rfam family "Bacterial small subunit ribosomal RNA", at positions 509 to 807 of the family's 1533-position model. The record is from RNAcentral.